Molecule: ribosomal RNA, 118 nt
Organism: Sinocyclocheilus anshuiensis
Lineage: Eukaryota; Metazoa; Chordata; Actinopteri; Cypriniformes; Cyprinidae
Source: Ensembl
AACCACAGCUAUAUCACCCUGCAGCCCAAGACUGGUUGCCCACCGAAGCUAAGCAGGGUUGAGCCUGGUCAGUUCUUGGGUGGGAGGCCUCCUGGGAAAACUAGGUUGCUGCUGGAUA